CCAAUAGCGUAUAUUAAAGUUGUUGCAGUUAAAAAGCUCGUAGUUGAACUUCGGGAUCAAUGGAUCGGUCAUGCCGUUGGUAUGUACUGGUCAUAUUGGUUCUCACCUUCUAAGGAACCAUAAUGUCAUUCAUUUGAUGUUUUGGGGAAUUAGGACUGUUACCUUGAAAAAAUUAGAGUGUUUAAAGCAGGCUAACGCUUGAAUACAUUAGCAUGGAAUAAUGAAAUAGGACAUCGCAUUCUAUUUUGUUGGUUUCUAGGAUCGAUGUAAUGAUUAAUAGGGAUAGUUGGGGGCAUUAGU
Molecule: ribosomal RNA, 300 nt
Filed under: Glomus sp.
Lineage: Eukaryota; Fungi; Glomeromycota; Glomeromycetes; Glomerales; Glomeraceae
Description: SSU rRNA
Rfam family: Eukaryotic small subunit ribosomal RNA
Source: RNAcentral